GGAGGAUUGCACCCUAUCAAUUACUAGCAAAAAUAAUAAUUUUUUUUAUAUUUUUUUGAUUUAAUUAAAAGAUUUUUUUUCUUUUUAAACUUCAAAUUUCGAAUCUCAGAAUUCAAAUUUUGAAUUUAAAAAUUUUUUGAAUUUUUGAAAUUUUUUUAAUUUUAAAUUUCGAAUUUCAAAUUUCAGAAUUUAAUAACUACGAAAUUAUUAACUAGAAAUUAUCAAAAUAAGAAAAAUUAAUAAAAAUAAAAAUAAAAACUUACUACCGGAGUACGUUCACUCCGGGCAUCCAAAAUUUGAUUUGAUCUUCGUGAUCGUUCUUGCUUCUCGAUUUGCCUCCCCGGCAACGGCGCCAAAAUUCUGUUCGUCCGAUUUCUGUCUACCUAAAAAUAUGCUAGACAGAUCGUUGUUAGAACCGACGAACAAAAGUUAAAUUUAAAUUCUACUCUUACCUUUCCUACUCGAAGAAUAGUGGUUGUAAGAGGUCGAUCCACAGGGAGGCGAUUGGAGUUGCUUAAAAAUUAGAACGUUCACUCGAAUUCAAAAUCGAUUUUUGAAUAACUAAAUAAAAACAUGAUGUCAGGGAUGAUGAUAGAUUCUCUAAUUUACCAGAGAAUUUUCUUUAUUUAAAAAUAAUAAAAAGACAAGUACUUAGAAAUCAAAGAGCAUUUAUAAAUUCAUGAAAUGUUUAACUAUUCAAAGGAAAAUUUUGGCAUAAAUUAAAAUGGAUGAAAGCAAGUGCUAAGAAGAUCN
This 753-nucleotide long non-coding RNA is filed under the name Phoenix dactylifera (date palm). RNAcentral describes it as "long non-coding RNA (PDAC_LNC010077)". The record is from RNAcentral. Lineage: Eukaryota; Viridiplantae; Streptophyta; Magnoliopsida; Arecales; Arecaceae.